GAACCCAGUCUAGUGGACAUGGCAUCUGCCCGGUAAGCGGAACACUGUGGGUUCGAUUCCCAUCCCUGGAUACU
Molecule: transfer RNA, 74 nt
Filed under: Cordylochernes scorpioides
Lineage: Eukaryota; Metazoa; Arthropoda; Arachnida; Pseudoscorpiones; Chernetidae
Description: tRNA-Thr
Source: RNAcentral